UUCCUACGGGAGGCAGCAGUGGGGAAUAUUGGUCAAUGGGAGGAAUCCUGAACCAGCCAUGCCGCGUGCAGGACGACGGCUCUAUGAGUUGUAAACUGCUUUUGUACAAGGGUAAACCUGAAUACGUGUAUUCAGCUGAAAGUACUGUACGAGUAAGGAUCGGCUAACUCCGUGCCAGCAGCCGCGGUAAUACGGAGGAUCCAAGCGUUAUCCGGAUUUAUUGGGUUUAAAGGGUGCGUAGGCGGAUUGAUAAGUUAGAGGUGAAAUGUCCGGGCUCAACUCGGGAACUGCCUCUAAUACUGUUG
This 305-nucleotide ribosomal RNA is filed under the name uncultured bacterium. RNAcentral's name for it is "bacterial SSU rRNA". It matches the Rfam family "Bacterial small subunit ribosomal RNA", at positions 336 to 638 of the family's 1533-position model. The record is from RNAcentral.